This is a non-coding RNA of Lepisosteus oculatus (spotted gar), 2930 nucleotides long. Lineage: Eukaryota; Metazoa; Chordata; Actinopteri; Semionotiformes; Lepisosteidae. The record is from RefSeq and is a predicted model, not a curated record.
UAUCGUCUCAGACUGCCUUUGCUCAAAAUGCAUGACAUUGCCACAGUGAGAGCAUGAGAACAGAGCCUCUUGAAUAGCAGGGUCCUCAUACUCGGCCUGUAACCAUGGAAGCAGAUGCCUGCUCUUUCUGUCCUGUCCUGCUUACCUCCCAGCGGCCAUGGGCUCCCUAUUGUAAAGAGGGUACGCCUUGAUUUUUCUUCAUCGUGACCGAACUUGCCUUGUCUUCAAAGGGAGCAAUUCAGCAGGUCACCGGUCUAGACUUGUUUGCAUGGUCCGCGGAGCAGCCUUGAUGUAACCCUUGCUCCUUGAGCACCACACCACCUGCCGUGCGACUGCAGACUGCGGGGGACAUUGGAGAUCUGUAUUUGAAAAGAAGUCCGUCCGAUUUUGCCAUUGUGCCUUUUCACUCAUCGAUCGAAUAAAUAUCGAACCUUCUGUCGGUGCAUGUGUGAAACAGAUAGCUUAGCAAGCACUUUUCUGUUCAAACCUGUGUUGUGGGCCGAGCGUCUCUCCUCUCUCUGUAUCAUUUUGUAAGUCUUAUUGUAUUUCCAUCUAUUACUUUUCUUAUCAUAACCUUUUCAACCUUUUUUGCUUUUAUUUUAAACUCAUCAAACAGGAGUCAAAAAAUGAAUCCAAACACAAAUUCUUUAUAAACUGACAAGACAAUUCAACAUCAGAUUUUCCUUCCAAAUGGGCUUUAACUGUGUUCUCACAUUUUCUGCCUAAAGAUGAAAACUGACAGUGAAAAGUUUUCUAACAUGAAAUUGUCAGAUUAUUACAAUACUUUUUUAAAAGGAAUAUUAAUUGCAACUAACACAUUUUAACAUGGGUUUCGGCAAAUUAUAAAGUUAAUUCGCAGUAGAUGGAAUUGUAAUUUGAUGGAAAUGUUUUGAAAUAUCAUGGAUUAAUUCUAUUUAUGUGAUAUUUAAAAGGAAAUGCAAUGCAAAUGGAAAUCUAAAUUAAUGUAUAAAUACCUUUCCUACAGAACACAUUCCUUUUUAUUAUUCCAUUAAUACGGUACUUUCUUUUAUCUGUCUUUAAAAAGGACACAGAAUGAUAGGCAUUUUAAACUUAAUAACUUUGAAGUAAACAUAUUUAAAAUCAUGAGCUGUAUCGUGGAGGGUAUAUGUGUUUCAUAAUUAAUUACAAUUCACAAUUUUUCUAGGACAGACUGGCUGCAGGUGGGUGAUAUAUGUAAUAAAAUAUAUUUAAGUUUGACAUUGAUGAAAAUUGCACAAAGACAAUCUGUUAUUCUAUGUAUAAACACCAUAUUACAUAUGGUAAUAUGUAUGGUUGUAAUAAAAAGGAAAUAAUAUUACAAUGAAAGCUAGUCCAAGCAAUAGUGUAAGUAAAUUAAUAAAUGGCAAAAACAUUCAGUUUUAGUUAUGUGAUUUUUUGUAGAUUACAAUUGUUAUUAGAGAUAACAAUUUUAAUAUGCUGCAUUUAAAUAAAAUAAUUUCCAUCUUGUAAUUUCCACCUGUUCAGUCCUAAUGUGACUACUAUUACCUCUUUAAAACACUGAUAUGGCCAUUUACAUAAGAAACAAGAACGUCUGAAAAUAUGUUUCUUGGUGGAAUCUGUUGACAUAUCUGUAAACAGCACUGAGAUUCCACAUCCACAAUCUCACAGACUUCAAGGCAUCACUAUUUCAUUUAAUAGCCAUAGGCAGAGGGGGAGGUACAGAAGAGUAAAUGUUACUGUGACACAUGAAACAUAAUUCACAUUGAGAGGUCCUUUCAUCUAGCCCUGAGUGAUGGUGAAUCACUCCAAGCUGACUUUAGGGACACAGGAUGACCCAGUUUUUGUCGUAUUAGAAUGAUAUGGCUUUACAAAUUCGGUACCGGAUCUCCAACUCUUAUUUUUGGGAUUUGUAGGAAAAGAAUGAAGAAAGAAAAGAAGAGCAGCAAAGAAGCAGAGACUGUUCGAUCUUGGGUUCUGGUGACAUCAUGAAUAAGAAAGACCAGGGCCUUUGAUUUCAGCAGACAGGAAUGCUCAGAGCCCUGGCCGCCACACGCAGAGUGCCACCCUGGUGGGAACAAAGGCUGAAAAUGGAGUCAGAGACCGUGCAAGCUCAAUGUCUAAGCCUUUCCUGUGAAUUGUUCCACCCCAGACGAGUGAUACCCAAUUGUGUUUUCAGAGAUCUGAGGAAGCCAACACAAGCAUACAGCUUAGCUUGCUGCCAUGCAAACAAACAUGAAUGCAGUAAAACAUAUAGCGGCACACAACACCUUAAUGACAUUCAGAAUAUCAAUUCUGCAUGCUGGUGAAUAAACGAUGCCACACUUUACAAGAAAAGCAAAUGACAAAAAUAAACAAUCACAAACAAUAAAAAGAAUUAAGCAGCUUUACUGUAUAUAAUACCCCAUCCAGCCUUUCACAAGUCAAUAUUCACUAUCAUUGUCUCAAAAGAAGUGAAAUCCAGUUGUGUUUCAUUCCACAUAAUAGGAUUUCAGGUAACGCAAUGCCACGUUAACCAAACAACAGCCCUCCCACAAACUGGUUCAGUAAAACAGCAACAAGUAUCUACAGAGGUAUUUUUUAUUUAAGCAUUAUUACAUUAUUUAACAUUUUAUAUGUAAUCUAUGAAAUGUAUUAACCUUUUUUACAAGUCCAUUCAUCCUGCACUUUUUGUGUCACAAAGGUCUUUGUGUAUUUUUCUUCAACUUAACUGCCAUGAAGCCUGGGGUAUAAUUGCUCCGUCUGUUGCUAGAGUGAAGCUGUUCUAUCCUUGUCUUAUCUUUAACUGGUUAAAGAUGAAAACUGUAAAAUCCCACAGGUAACCACAACAAAAAAAAAUCAGAGUUCCCCUUUUUUUCUACUUGCAAAGAAAUGAAUUAGUUAUACUUCUAAUGUAUGGUUACGUGAUACUGAAAAUGUAGUUGCACUCUUAUUAUGCAGAAACGGAAUAAAUAACAUAGUAUAAGAUGACA